This 164-nucleotide ribosomal RNA is filed under the name uncultured bacterium. Its description in RNAcentral is "partial 16S rRNA". It matches the Rfam family "Bacterial small subunit ribosomal RNA", at positions 355 to 511 of the family's 1533-position model. The record is from RNAcentral.
UAGGGAAUCUUCCACAAUGGACGAAAGUCUGAUGGAGCAACGCCGCGUGAGUGAAGAAGGGUUUCGGCUCGUAAAACUCUGUCGUUAAAGAAGAACAUAUCUGAGAGUAACUGUUCAGGUAUUGACGGUAUUUAACCCGAAAGCCACGGCUAACUACGUGCCAC